This 253-nucleotide ribosomal RNA is filed under the name uncultured bacterium. Its description in RNAcentral is "partial 16S ribosomal RNA". It matches the Rfam family "Bacterial small subunit ribosomal RNA", at positions 524 to 776 of the family's 1533-position model. The record is from RNAcentral.
UACAGAGGUGGCAAGCGUUGUUCGGAAUUACUGGGCGGAAAGGGCGCGUAGGCGGCACUGUUAGUCAGGCGUGAAAGUCCUGGGCUCAACCUGGGAACUGCGCUUGAUACGGCAGAGCUAGAGGAUGGAAGAGGCUCGCGGAAUUCCCAGUGUAGAGGUGAAAUUCGUAGAUAUUGGGAAGAACACCGGUGGCGAAGGCGGCGAGCUGGUCCAUUACUGACGCUGAGGCGCGACAGCGUGGGGAGCAAACAGG